This 498-nucleotide ribosomal RNA is filed under the name uncultured bacterium. RNAcentral's name for it is "partial 16S ribosomal RNA". It matches the Rfam family "Bacterial small subunit ribosomal RNA", at positions 28 to 507 of the family's 1533-position model. The record is from RNAcentral.
GACGAACGCUGGCGGCGUGCCUAAUACAUGCAAGUCGAGCGGACGAAUCGAAAGCUUGCUUUUGAUUCGUGAGCGGCGGACGGGUGAGGAACACGUGGGCAACCUGCCCUGUAGACGGGGAUAACACCGAGAAAUCGGUGAUAAGACCGGAUAACACGAAAUGUCGCAUGGCGGUUCGUGGAAAGACGGAGGAAGCUGUCGCGACAGGGGGGGCCCGCGGCGCAUUAGAUCGUGGGUGUGGGGAAGGGUCACCAAGGCGACGAUGCGGAGACGACGUGAGAGGGUGAUCGGCCACACUGGGACUGAGACACGGCCCAGACUCCUACGGGAGGCAGCAGUAGGGAAUCUUCCGCAAUGGACGAGAGUCUGACGCAGCAGCGCCGCGUGAGCGAAGAAGGCCUUCGGGUCGUAAAGCUCUGUUGUUAGGGAAGAACAAGUAACGCCGUAACUGGCGUUACCGUGACGGUACCUGACGAGAAAGCCCCGGCUAACUACGUG